This 631-nucleotide ribosomal RNA is filed under the name uncultured bacterium. Its description in RNAcentral is "bacterial SSU rRNA". It matches the Rfam family "Bacterial small subunit ribosomal RNA", at positions 68 to 691 of the family's 1533-position model. The record is from RNAcentral.
GGUAUCAUCCUUUCGGGGGUGAGAGAGUGGCGAACUGGUGAGUAACACGUAGGUUAUCUACCCUCAAGACGGGGACAACCCAGGGAAACUUGGGCUAAUACCGGAUGUGAGCAACUUUUAGUUGUUUGAAAGGUGGCGUAAGCUGUCGCUUGGGGAUGAGCCUGCGUCCUAUUAGUUAGUUGGUGAGGUAACGGCUCACCUAGGCAAUGAUAGGUAGGCGGCCUUAACGGGUGGUCGCCCACACUGGGAUUGAGAUACGGCCCAGACUCCUACGGGAGGCAGCAGUCGAGAAUAGUCUACAAUGGUCGGAAGACUGAUAGUGCGACGCCGCGUGAACGAUGAAUCCCUUCGGGGUGUAAAGUUCUUUUAUAUGUGAGCAGUGCUUCUUAUAUUAACAGUAUGGGGAGAGAGAUAUUAGCAUAUGAAUAAGCAACGGCUAACUCCGUGCCAGCAGCCGCGGUAACACGGGGGUUGCGAGCGUUGUCCGGAAUUACUAGGCGUAAAGGGCAGGCAGGCGGAUCCAUAAGUUUAUCGUUUAAGGCGUCGGCUUAACCGGCGUAGGGCGGUAGAUACUGUGGAUCUGGAAUGCGGUUGGGGAAGACAGAAUUCCUGGUGUAGCGGUGGGAUGCGC